AUGGAACAUGACCUCCAUAUGACCAAAGGAGAAGAGGAGACCAGCUACUUCAAAAACUCAAGGCUUCAGGAAAAAGCUUUGGUUGAGACUAAGCCCGUUGUCCAGAAGAUUGUCAUGGAAAUGUGCGUGGAUCUCCUCCAUCCAGCAAUGACAAUUGUUGACUUAGGCUGUUCUUCAAGUGACAACACACUCUUCUUUGUCUCCAAUGUGAUCAAAGCGGUCAGCAGCUACCACCUUGAGAAAUUCAGUGGCCAUCCCACCGAGCUUCAGUUCUUUCUCAACGAUUUACCAGGCAAUGACUUCAACCGUGUCUUCCAAUCACUUCAACGAUUCAGGAACUCGAUUGAUAUGGAUCACAAGGGAGAGCCAAUACCUGCUUUUUACAUCGCUGGGUUGCCCAGCUCCUACUAUACAAGACUUUUGCCUCGCCGGAGUGUUCAUCUCUUUCACUCAUCAUACUGCCUGCAUUGGCGAUCUCGGCUUCCUGAUGGAUUAGAGGGCAAGAAAAGACCAUAUCCCAAUGAAGGAAACAUCGGCAUUGGAGCGACUACCCCACCCUGUGUGGUGAAAAUGUAUCAAGAGCAGUUUCAGAAGGACAUGUUGUUGUUCCUCCAACUGCGCCAUGUAGAACUAGUUGCCAAUGGACAAAUGGUUCUCACAUUUCUUGGGAGGAAACACGAUGAUGUCUAUAGCGCAAGUCUCAACCGUUUAUAUGGGUUACUUUCCCAGUCUGUACAAUCUCUUGUUGAGGAGGGCCUCGUGGAGAAAGAAAAGCUGGACUCCUUUAAUUUACCUGUGUAUGGACCAUCGAUGGAUGAAGUGAAGGCAGUGGUCGACCAGAGCCAGCUGUUUGAAUUGACUCACAUCAAACUGUUCGAGACCAAUUGGGAUCCUUAUGACGACUCGGAGGGCAAUGAUGUCGACGACAGUGUCCAGAGUGGGAUUAACGUCGCAAUCUGCUUGAGAGCAGUGAUGGAGCCCCUAUUUACAAGCCAUUUUGGAGAAUCCGUGCUUGAUGAGCUCUUCAAGAAGUUUGCAUAUAACGUCGCAUUGCACCUUGUCAAGGAGAAGACCAAGUACUCUGUCAUUAUUCUAUCACUGAAAAGAAGAUGA
Molecule: ribosomal RNA, 1113 nt
Filed under: Triticum aestivum (bread wheat)
Lineage: Eukaryota; Viridiplantae; Streptophyta; Magnoliopsida; Poales; Poaceae
Description: partial small subunit ribosomal RNA
Source: RNAcentral